Molecule: ribosomal RNA, 484 nt
Filed under: uncultured bacterium
Lineage: Bacteria
Description: partial 16S ribosomal RNA
Rfam family: Bacterial small subunit ribosomal RNA
Source: RNAcentral
GAUGAACGCUGGCGGCGUGCUUAACACAUGCAAGUCGAACGGUGAAGCAGGAGCUUGCUCUUGUGGAUCAGUGGCGAACGGGUGAGUAACACGUGAGCAACCUGCCCCUGACUCUGGGAUAAGCGCUGGAAACGGCGUCUAAUACUGGAUAUGUGAUGUGACCGCAUGGUCUGCAUCUGGAAAGAAUUUCGGUUGGGGAUGGGCUCGUGGCCUAUCAGCUGGUUGGUGAGGUAAUGGCUCACCAAGGCGUCGACGGGUAGCCGGCCUGAGAGGGGGACCGGCCACACCGGGACUGAGACACGGCCCAGACUCCUACGGGAGGCAGCAGUGGGGAAUAUUGCACAAUGGGCGGAAGCCUGAUGCAGCAACGCCGCGUGAGGGAUGACGGCCUUCGGGUUGUAAACCUCUUUUAGCAGGGAAGAAGCGAAAGUGACGGUACCUGCAGAAAAAGCACCGGCUAACUACGUGCCAGCAGCCGCCGCCG